CAUUUUGUGGUGCAGUGGUUUGAGUAUUGGACUAUGACUCUAGAGGCCAGAGUUUAAAUCCCUGCUGAACCA
Phrynosoma platyrhinos (Desert horned lizard) is the source of this 72-nucleotide non-coding RNA. The record is from the annotation of a GenBank genome assembly. NCBI's taxonomy places the organism in Eukaryota, Metazoa, Chordata, Lepidosauria, Squamata, Phrynosomatidae.